Molecule: ribosomal RNA, 253 nt
Filed under: uncultured microorganism
Description: partial 16S ribosomal RNA
Rfam family: Bacterial small subunit ribosomal RNA
Source: RNAcentral
UACGGAGGGUGCGAGCGUUAAUCGGAAUUACUGGGCGUAAAGCGUGCGCAGGCGGUUUGUUAAGCGAGAUGUGAAAGCCCCGGGCUCAACCUGGGAACCGCAUUUCGAACUGGCAAACUAGAGUCUUGUAGAGGGGGGUAGAAUUCCAGGUGUAGCGGUGAAAUGCGUAGAGAUCUGGAGGAAUACCGGUGGCGAAGGCGGCCACCUGGUCAGAAACUGACGCUGAGGUACGAAAGCGUGGGGAGCAAACAGG